GACGAACGCUGGCGGCGUGCCUAAUACAUGCAAGUUGAGCGCUGAAGGUUGGUACUUGUACCAACUGGAUGAGCAGCGCACGGGUGAGUAACGCGUGGGGAAUCUGCCUUUGAGCGGGGGACAACAUUUGGAAACGAAUGCUAAUACCGCAUAAAAACUUUAAACACAAGUUUUAAGUUUGAAAGAUGCAAUUGCAUCACUCAAAGAUGAUCCCGCGUUGUAUUAGCUAGUUGGUGAGGUAAAGGCUCACCAAGGCGAUGAUACAUAGCCGACCUGAGAGGGUGAUCGGCCACAUUGGGACUGAGACACGGCCCAAACUCCUACGGGAGGCAGCAGCAGGGAAUCUUCGGCAAUGGACGAAAGUCUGACCGAGCAACGCCGCGUGAGGGAAGAAGGUUUUCGGAUCGUAAAACUCUGUUGGUAGAGAAGAACGUUGGUGAGAGUGGAAAGCUCAUCAAGUGACGGUAACUACCCAGAAAGGGACGGCUAACUACGUG
Molecule: ribosomal RNA, 497 nt
Filed under: uncultured bacterium
Lineage: Bacteria
Description: partial 16S ribosomal RNA
Rfam family: Bacterial small subunit ribosomal RNA
Source: RNAcentral